Molecule: ribosomal RNA, 467 nt
Filed under: uncultured bacterium
Lineage: Bacteria
Description: partial 16S ribosomal RNA
Rfam family: Bacterial small subunit ribosomal RNA
Source: RNAcentral
GACGAACGCUGGCGGCGUGCUUAACACAUGCAAGUCGAACGGAAAGGCCCUGCUUUUGUGGGGUGCUCGAGUGGCGAACGGGUGAGUAACACGUGAGUAACCUGCCCUUGACUUUGGGAUAACUUCAGGAAACUGGGGCUAAUACCGGAUAGGAGCUCCUGCUGCAUGGUGGGGGUUGGAAAGUUUCGGCGGUUGGGGAUGGACUCGCGGCUUAUCAGCUUGUUGGUGGGGUAGUGGCUUACCAAGGCUUUGACGGGUAGCCGGCCUGAGAGGGUGACCGGCCAAAUGGGGACUGGGUUACGGCCCAGACUCCUAGGGGGGGAAGCGGGGGGGAUUAUUGCACAAUGGGCGGAAGCCUGAUGCAGCAACGCCGCGGGCGGGAUGACGGCCUUCGGGUUGUAAACCGCUUUGGCCUGUGACGAGGCGUGGGUGACGGUAAUGGGUAAAGAAGAACCGGCUAACUACGU